AUCUCAUGAUGAGGAAAAUCUUGAAUGUAUCUUUACAAACACUCCUAUGCUCCUAAAAUGGUUUCUGUCUUCUACUAUUGGAAAUUGGUGAUCUUUCCUCUUAAUGC
Molecule: small nucleolar RNA, 107 nt
Filed under: Sorghum bicolor (sorghum)
Lineage: Eukaryota; Viridiplantae; Streptophyta; Magnoliopsida; Poales; Poaceae
Description: Plant small nucleolar RNA R71
Rfam family: Plant small nucleolar RNA R71
About the family: R71 is a member of the C/D box family of snoRNAs containing the C (UGAUGA) and D (CUGA) box motifs. Multiple nearly identical copies of this snoRNA have been identified in Arabidopsis, and it is thought to function as a 2'-O-ribose methylation guide for 18S ribosomal RNA.
Source: Rfam by way of RNAcentral